Molecule: long non-coding RNA, 1437 nt
Organism: Lingula anatina
Lineage: Eukaryota; Metazoa; Brachiopoda; Lingulata; Lingulida; Lingulidae
Source: RefSeq, a predicted model, not a curated record
AUUGCCAAGUUUUAAAAUAAGUCUCAUAACAAAGCCAAAAUGUUUUCAAAGAGGUGUCCUUUAGUUGUGCUGUGUCUCGUGGUGGUUAUGGCAGGGUUGGCAUCGUCUAAAAAUUACUUGAUAGGAGACACAAGUAACAUGCCUGAAUUCUGCAAGAAACAUCCUGUAGGUACCAGGGUCUGUAAUGGUAUUGCUGAUGAAUUGGGCCACUGGACCUGCUGCACAUGUGGACCAAAUGGUGCAUUUGGAUGUACAGGAUAACUGAAACCAGUAUGCUGUGGCGUCUGUGGCUACUUUCUUUUGGCUUGAAGAAAAUGAAGAAACAUGCUGUAGAACAGUGUGCCACUUGAAGUACAUAAAGUGUGAAUUUUGGCUUCAGUCUAUUUGACUGAUGCAGAUAGAUUAUUCAUUCUUAAAAUGUGAAUUAUGCAAAAAUAAAUGCUAAUCACAAACUAUUGUGCAUUGUUUAUCUCAUUUACUUCAGAAUAUUAGUAAUUAAAUAUCCAUUAAAAAUUUAGAAGCGUUUACAUGUCUUAUGCCAAUAAGUGUGUCUAAGGACAUCUUUUCACUUCAGUUGCUGUUAUAAAGGGCUAUAAAUAGCCUAUCACUGAAUGAGAAAGGAGAGAUUGUCAUGAUUGAUAUUUCAUGAAAGCAGCUCAGGUAUUUUGACACCAUUAUAUUUAUUAGUGUCCAAGUAUUUCAUUUAACAUGUGCAAAUGUUAUCCACUUCCAUUUUUUUCCCUUUGGCUGCCAAAUGAAAAACAAAAAACAUCUGUUAUAUAUCAUCUAAAUUAUAAUUUCAGAGGAUUAAAACUUAUCAUUCAAUUUUUCAAUGUAUUAAUUUUUUUGUGUUAGUUCACCAUUUUUUGACUGACAAACUUAAAAAUCCAUAUUUCUUUCUUAAAGUCUUCACAAAAUAUGAUUUCGGGGUCUUUUAUCAAAGAAUAUUUCAUAAUCCCAACCGUGUUGACACAUUACACCUUUGCAUCCGGUCUCAUACAAAAGAACACAGGAAGUUGUGGUUUUUUAAAAGUUCUGUGUAUUUACUUUGGCUAUUAUGAAAUACCGUACAUGGGUUAACAACUUUGAUAUUUAGUUAAGCUGUGCCAGUAGAUGAACAUCUAGUUGAGAAGCUAAGGGUAUUGUUAAAUAAUACAUAUUAAAGUGGGUAUUGUUAAAUAAUAUAUAUUAAUACACAUUUAAUUAUGUCAUAACACCACCUGUGAAUUCUACUCAAAUGUGCCUCAAAAUUUUCAUGAUUUGAACUUCUGAUAAUAAUAAUAUUUAUUUUAAUGUACAAAUCAACCACUUUAUGAGUGCUUAAAAGCAAUAAAUGGAAGUGUGCAUUUGCAGGUUUUCCAGUCUGCACAUUUCAGGACAUAUUUUCUGUUAAAGAAAUCUGAGGUACAAAAAAAUAAUAAAUCAAGACAAAAAAAA